AGGGUUUGAUUCUGGCUCAGGAUGAACGCUGGCGGCGUGCUUAACACAUGCAAGUCGAACGAAGCACUUCACUUUGAUUCUUCGGAUGAAGAGAGUUGUGACUGAGUGGCGGACGGGUGAGUAACGCGUGGGUAACCUGCCUCAUACAGGGGGAUAACAGUUAGAAAUGACUGCUAAUACCGCAUAAGACCACAGGACCGCAUGGUCCGGUGGUAAAAACUCCGGUGGUAUGAGAUGGACCCGCGUCUGAUUAGGUAGUUGGUGGGGUAACGGCUCACCAAGCCGACGAUCAGUAGCCGACCUGAGAGGGUGACCGGCCACAUUGGGACUGAGACACGGCCCAA
This 344-nucleotide ribosomal RNA is filed under the name uncultured bacterium. RNAcentral's name for it is "bacterial SSU rRNA". It matches the Rfam family "Bacterial small subunit ribosomal RNA", at positions 8 to 334 of the family's 1533-position model. The record is from RNAcentral.